AUUGAACGCUGGCGGCAUGCUUUACACAUGCGAGUCGAACGGUAACAGGCCUUCGGGUGCUGACGAGUGGCGAACGGGUGAGUAAUGCAUCGGAACGUACCCAGAGGUGGGGGAUAACGCAGCGAAAGCUGUGCUAAUACCGCAUGUGAUCUGAGGAUGAAAGCGGGGGACCGAGCAGCAAUGUUUGGCCUCGCGCCUUUGGAGCGGCCGAUGUCGGAUUAGCUAGUUGGUGGGGUAAAGGCCUACCAAGGCGACGAUCCGUAGCUGGUCUGAGAGGCCGACAAGCCACCCUGGGACUGGGCCACGGCCCAGACUCCUACGGGAGGCAGCAGUGGGGAAUUUUGGACAAUGGGCGCAAGCCUGAUCCAGCAAUGCCGCGUGCGGGAAGAAGGCCUUCGGGUUGUAAACCGCGUUUGGCAGGAACGAAACGGUGUCCGCUAAUACCGGGCGCUAAUGACGGUACCUGCAGAAUAAGCACCGGCUAACUACGUG
Molecule: ribosomal RNA, 492 nt
Filed under: uncultured bacterium
Lineage: Bacteria
Description: partial 16S ribosomal RNA
Rfam family: Bacterial small subunit ribosomal RNA
Source: RNAcentral